CGUAGGGUGCGAGCGUUGUCCGGAAUUAUUGGGCGUAAAGGGCUCGUAGGCGGUUUGUCGCGUCGGGAGUGAAAACCUCGGGCUUAACUCGGGGCUUGCUUUCGAUACGGGCAGACUGGAGGUAUGCAGGGGAGAACGGAAUUCCUGGUGUAGCGGUGAAAUGCGCAGAUAUCAGGAGGAACACCGGUGGCGAAGGCGGUUCCCUGGGCAUGACCUGACGCUGAGGAGCGAAAGUGUGGGGAGCGAACAGGAUUAGAUACCCUGGUAGUCCACACCGUAAACGUUGGGCGCUAGGUGUGGGAUCCAUUCCACGGGUUCCGUGCCGCAGCUAACGCAUUAAGCGCCCCGCCUGGGGAGUACGGCCGCAAGGCUA
RNAcentral lists this ribosomal RNA (373 nucleotides) under uncultured organism. RNAcentral's name for it is "bacterial SSU rRNA". It matches the Rfam family "Bacterial small subunit ribosomal RNA", at positions 526 to 896 of the family's 1533-position model. The record is from RNAcentral.